CCCUGCGGAGUGCUUACUAUGCCAUCUCGAACCAUGAUCCCGGCUUGCUGGGAGAUUAGUGGCGAACCGGUGAGUCACACGUGAGUAACCUGCCCUUAUCUCUGGGACUGGCCUGGGAUACUGGGUCUAUUACCGGAUGUGACUCCUCAUCGCGUGGUGGGGGGUGGAUAGCUUUAUUGUGGUUUUGGAUGGACGCGCGGCCUAUCACCUCGUUGGGGAUGUAAUGGCUCUGCCAGUGUCACAACUGGUACCCCGUCUGACAGGGUGACCAGUCACCCUGUGACUGAGACACGGACAAGACUCCUACGGUAGGCAUUCCUGGGGAAUAUUGCACCAUGGUGGCAAGUGUGAUCCCCCUACACCGCCUGAUGGAUCACGGCCUUCGGGGUGGUAACCUCUUUCGUGACGGAAGACACUUGAACUGACCGUACCUGCCCAAUACUCUCCCGCUAUUCUCUUGCCAUCAGCCCCGGUCAU
Molecule: ribosomal RNA, 477 nt
Filed under: uncultured bacterium
Lineage: Bacteria
Description: bacterial SSU rRNA
Rfam family: Bacterial small subunit ribosomal RNA
Source: RNAcentral